GACGAACGCUGGCGGCGUGCCUAAUACAUGCCAGUCGAACGCACAGUUUAUACCGUAGCUUGCUACACCAUAGACUGUGAGUUGCGAACGGGUGAGUAACGCGUAGGUAACCUGCCUGGUAGCGGGGGAUAACUAUUGGAAACGAUAGCUAAUACCGCAUAAUAUUGAUUAUUGCAUGAUAAUUAAUUGAAAGGUGCAAUUGCACCACUACCAGAUGGACCUGCGUUGUAUUAGCUAGUAGGUGAGGUAACGGCUCACCUAGGCGACGAUACAUAGCCGACCUGAGAGGGUGAUCGGCCACACUGGGACUGAGACACGGCCCAGACUCCUACGGGAGGCAGCAGUAGGGAAUCUUCGGCAAUGGACGAAAGUCUGACCGAGCAACGCCGCGUAAGUGAAGAAGGUUUUCGGAUCGUAAAGCUCUGUUGUAAGAGAAGAACGGGUGUGAGAGUGGAAAGUUCACACUGUGACGGUAUCUUACCAGAAAGGGACGGCUAACUACGUG
Molecule: ribosomal RNA, 505 nt
Filed under: uncultured bacterium
Lineage: Bacteria
Description: partial 16S ribosomal RNA
Rfam family: Bacterial small subunit ribosomal RNA
Source: RNAcentral